CUACGGGUCGCUGCAGUAAGGAAUAUUGCGCAAUGGAGGCAACUCUGACGCAGCCAUGCCGCGUGCAGGAAGAAGGCCUUAUGGGUCGUAAACUGCUUUUAUUUAGGAAUAAACCCCCGAACGUGUUCGGGGCUGAAGGUACUAAACGAAAUAGCACCGGCUAACUCCGUGCCAGCAGCCGCGGUAAUACGGAGGGUGCAAGCGUUAUCCGGAUUUAUUGGGUUUAAAGGGUGCGCAGGCGGGCUAUUAAGUCAGUGGUGAAAUCCCGGGGCUCAAAUCCGGAACUGCCAUUGAUACUGAUAGUCUUGAGUUUGGUUGAAGUGGGCGGAAUGUAGCAUGUAGCGGUGAAAUGCAUAGAUAUGCUACAGAACACCAAUCGCGAAGGCAGCUCACUAAGCCAAAACUGACGCUCAUGCACGAAAGCGUGGGGAUCAAACAGGAUUAGAUACCCUUGUAGUC
This 459-nucleotide ribosomal RNA is filed under the name uncultured bacterium. Its description in RNAcentral is "partial 16S ribosomal RNA". It matches the Rfam family "Bacterial small subunit ribosomal RNA", at positions 339 to 795 of the family's 1533-position model. The record is from RNAcentral.